UUCAGCACAAACCCUGCUGGGAAAUGGGAAGUGGGGUGCUGGUGAAGGGCUCAGAAAGCCCGUGAGCCCAACAUCUCCUGAGGAUGCUGCCCUAGGAGCUCAGGUGCCAAAGGCUUAGGCUGCCUGGAAUAGACCUGGAGGCAGAGUACUGCCCUCCACAGACCUGGAGGACAGCCUCGGUGACCCUGUAUGCCCUUCGAGACCAUCAACCAUGGAUUUCCUGGCUCAGCUCUGGAGGGUAGAGUUCUCUCCUCCUGCCUUCCUUCCUCUGUCCAUGGCCGUUGCCACCACAUCCUCUCUUCUGCUACCUCAGUGUUUUCCUGGAGCUCAAAGGUAUUUUUGUUCCUUCAUAAUGGCUUCAUGGUUCACUGGACCGAAAUGACUAAAAUGAAAGAUUUCCAAGAUUUCUUCUGGGAGUAAUUUACAAAAGACCACCAUUUUUUAAUUGCUCCUCGUGUUUAGUACUGGAUGUCUGCUUCAGAGAGAAAUCAAUCUCCGUCUUUUAGGUGCCAUACUGAGCACAUCAUAAUCUUUUUUAAAAAUCUUGAUAAUUAAAUCUUUUUCUCUUGAAUUACUUAAACAUGUUUCUAUCUGAUUUCUCUAGCAGUUUAGAGCAUAACAGUGCACUUACUAUCUCUGUUUACAUUCAUUUAAUUCGUUUCUGGCAGAUGUUUAUUUUGCAUUUUAACGCCAUGAAAAAUAGUAAUAAUCAGUGUGACGUCAAAAAUAAUUAAGAGAAAUAGCAAGAUUUCCUCCAUAGGAGAAUUCUUCCUGCAGAAGAAUGAAAGAAAAUUAAUUUCCCUGAGUUACUAUAACUAAAAUCAUCUGCAGAAUCCCCAGUAAAAGAAAAAAGUUAAAAAUUGACAUGCCAUCAAUAAAAAUCAGCUCACUUAAAAAAAGUCACUAAGUUAAAGAUUUCAUAGCAUCAUUGGCAAGAUUGGUGGAAACGUUUUGUCAAAAACCAAUUUCUUGUGAGGCUGCAUGCUAAGAUUCUCCUAAAAGACAAUCUCCCUUGUUUUUAGAAGUACCAACACGCACUCCUAGGAAAUGUACUGAUUUCAAGGUCAAAUUAACAUGCUGCCGGAAAGGGAGCCUCCUUCACUAUCUCUAACUAGAUGGCCAUUGUUGAUUUGUUGCAGUGGAGCCACACUGGUAACUAUUUUCUGUAUGAUGUAGUCACCCGUAUUAUAAAGGCUGUUGCAAUCAAUGACUAAUAUCCCUGCUUACUUCUGCAAAAUUUUAUUGUUUAUGUUCAUCCUGAUUAAAAAUGUCUGUGUUUAAAAAAUAUCAAGAUAAGACUAUUGUUCUAUAUCCAAAGUAUUAGUUACUGGCCAAUGUCCAAAAAAAGAUAAUUUUUCUCAGGUCGUGAGCCUAAAUCCUGUAACUAUUCUGUUGUUGGACAAGUCUGUUUUUCACUUUCAAUUCAUAUUCAAAGAAGAGCUUGUCUGUGGUUUCCACUGG
Molecule: long non-coding RNA, 1461 nt
Filed under: Papio anubis (olive baboon)
Lineage: Eukaryota; Metazoa; Chordata; Mammalia; Primates; Cercopithecidae
Description: lncRNA (ENSPANG00000043261.1)
Source: RNAcentral